AUUGAACGCUGGCGGCAGGCCUAACACAUGCAAGUCGAACGAGUGGCGGACGGGUGAGUAAUGUCUGGGAAACUGCCUGAUGGAGGGGGAUAACUACUGGAAACGGUAGCUAAUACCGCAUACCAUCAGAUGUGCCCAGAUGGGAUUAGCUUGUGGGUGGGGUAACGGCUCUCCAGGGCGACGAUCCCUAGCUGGUCUGAGAGGAUGACCGGCCAAUGUGGACAUGAGACACGGUCCAGACUCCUAGGGGAGGCAGGAGUGGGGAAUAUUGAACAAUGGGCGCAAGCCUGAUGCAGCCAUGCCGCGUGUAUGAAGAAGUCCUUCGGGUUGUAAAGUACUUUCAGCGGGGAGGCGUUACCCGCAGAAGAAGCACCGGCAAACACCGUGCCAGCCGCCGCGGUAAUU
RNAcentral lists this ribosomal RNA (405 nucleotides) under uncultured bacterium. Its description in RNAcentral is "partial 16S ribosomal RNA". It matches the Rfam family "Bacterial small subunit ribosomal RNA", at positions 30 to 525 of the family's 1533-position model. The record is from RNAcentral.